ACAGUUCGGUCCCUAUCUGCCGUGGGCGCUGGAGAACUGAGGGGGGCUGCUCCUAGUACGAGAGGACCGGAGUGGACGCAUCACUGGUGUUCGGGUUGUCAUGCCAAUGGCACUGCCCGGUAGCUAAAUGCGGAAGAGAUAAGUGCUGAAAGCAUCUAAGCACGAAACUUGCCCCGAGAUGAGUUCUCCCUGACUCCUUGAGAGUCCUGAAGGAACGUUGAAGACGACGACGUUGAUAGGCCGGGUGUGUAAGCGCAGCGAUGCGUUGAGCUAACCGGUACUAAUGAACCGUGAGGCUUAACCUU
Molecule: ribosomal RNA, 305 nt
Filed under: Pseudomonas aeruginosa
Lineage: Bacteria; Pseudomonadati; Pseudomonadota; Gammaproteobacteria; Pseudomonadales; Pseudomonadaceae
Also listed under: 1 other name
Description: partial 23S ribosomal RNA
Rfam family: Bacterial large subunit ribosomal RNA
Source: RNAcentral